GAUGAACGCUGGCGGCGUGCCUAAUACAUGCAAGUCGAGCGAACGGACGAGAAGCUUGCUUCUCUGAUGUUAGCGGCGGACGGGUGAGUAACACGUGGAUAACCUACCUAUAAGACUGGGAUAACUUCGGGAAACCGGAGCUAAUACCGGAUAAUAUUUUGAACCGCAUGGUUCAAAAGUGAAAGACGGUCUUGCUGUCACUUAUAGAUGGAUCCGCGCUGCAUUAGCUAGUUGGUAAGGUAACGGCUUACCAAGGCAACGAUGCAUAGCCGACCUGAGAGGGUGGUCGCCCACACUGGAACUGGGCCACGGUCCAGACUCCUACGGGAGGCAGCAGUAGGGAAUCUUCCGCAAUGGGCGAAAGCCUGACGGAGCAACGCCGCGUGAGUGAUGAAGGUCUUCGGAUCGUAAAACUCUGUUAUUAGGGAAGAACAUAUGUGUAAGUAACUGUGCACAUCUUGACGGUACCUAAUCAGAAAGCCACGGCUAACUACGUG
Molecule: ribosomal RNA, 497 nt
Filed under: uncultured bacterium
Lineage: Bacteria
Description: partial 16S ribosomal RNA
Rfam family: Bacterial small subunit ribosomal RNA
Source: RNAcentral